RNAcentral lists this long non-coding RNA (5450 nucleotides) under Phoenix dactylifera (date palm). Its description in RNAcentral is "long non-coding RNA (PDAC_LNC000409)". Lineage: Eukaryota; Viridiplantae; Streptophyta; Magnoliopsida; Arecales; Arecaceae. The record is from RNAcentral.
CACCAGCAAAGUUCGAUAUGCUCAUUCAAACGCCCACUGGUUCUCCCGCCGCACCUCUUCCUCUUCCUCAGGUGUGAAGUCAUUUUUGAUAUUGAAGGUCUUGCGAAUUUCUUCUGGGGUCUUUCCCUUGAUCAUGUCAGCAACUGUUUGGCACGUCAAAUCCAGUAGUCCCUUUAUGUUAAGGUAAUUUGCUGCCUGAAAACAUUCCAAGUAUCAUUAAGACCAACCGAAUGAAAGCCUCAUCAACAACAAAAACAUCCAAUUUUAUGCGUAACCAGCAAAUAGAUGGGACUACAAGAAUACAAAAAUAAUAAUAAGACCACACACCAUACGUAAAAAUAUGUCUAAUAUGGCAAGUUAGACGCCAGUCGUCACACACUGAAGAAAAUCUAGGAGUAUAGAAUAGAAACAAAUUCUUAUUCUACUAACGUAUAAAAGCACAAAAUUUCCACCACCACGGACCCUAACCCUUGUUCUUGGUCAUGAUCAUGAUCAUGGUAGCUGUUCAAACUAUAUUCAACAAAGGACACAGAGAUAAACCUUGAUGCCUUUGGAGCCCAAAGAUCUCCUUAUAACUAGUAUCAAUGCAUUCAAACUAAAUCCAAAUUAAUUUGAUAGAGAAUUGCAUAUGGCCAUCCAAACUAAAUAAAAUAGAUAACCUAACUCUCACUACCACAUCUCCAUGGAUGUUUCAGUCAAAUUCUCUCAAUAAGUAUAUCAUUCUUCCAAUCUCUAUGGUGUCUGAAUCCGUUAGUUUAUUCCAUUCAUGUAUUUCAAUUCCAAGAUUCAAACUCUGAAGAAACAUGAGCCCCACAUCUAACUUUAAGAAAAACUUGUCGGUAAAUACAAAAUCCUGGCAAGAGAUCUAUAAGAUCGUUGGAACUUCUAACUCAAUAUAAAAAUGAACCCUGCAUCUAAUUUUAGGUAAACUUGUCCAUAAAUACAAAUUACAAGAGAUCAAAGAUCAAGGGAACAUUUAACUCAAAAUCAACAUGAACCCUAGAUCUAAUUUUGUGUAAGCCUAUCUAUAAUGACAAAAUUCUGGCAAGAGAUCUACGAUCAAGGGAACAUCCACUUCUCUUAUCAAUAAAAUAAAAUUUAUCAAGCAUUUCAGCAACCAGGGCAUCCACCAGAAAUCAGUUAGAAAUUUGAUUACAAGCUUGAGCACAAUACAUAUAGUUUGGAUGCAUAUAGUUAUAUACUCCCAGCCUUUGUAAAACAUAGGACUAUUCCGACACAUCAUGGCACCAUGAGUUCUGAUGUAUCAAACAAGUAUCAUUGUGCAGCUGACUCAGUAGUCAGGAUGAAAUGCAUGAUUGGAUUAAUUAAACUUUUAGGAUCUGUUUAGAUAUUCCUGCAGCAUUAGGCUGAAAACCCUGCAAGAAUCCAGCCUGGCUCAUCUAGCAUAUAUCUUCUAAACUAUGUGUACAGGUUAUGUCUAGUAUUAUAGGAUAUGAGGCCUGGCCCAGCCUAUGUCAACUGAACCUCUUCCAGUCCAUUCCUAUAGGAUAGGGAAAAAGACCAGGUGAGGUCAUUUUUUUAUCCCUAUGGAAUUCGAGCCGGUCCACUUUGAAUUUUUUUUUUUUGAAUACUGUGAAUAUGGGCUAGCCUGGCCUGUGUUCUUGUAAAUCUUGUUGGAUUGCACAGGAUUAUUCAAACAGGCUCUUAACAUAUAGUUACUAUUGUUAUAUAAAAUACCAUGAAUAAUGGUUCCUGCAUUUUUACUUUAUACCGUUCAAUUUCUCAUUUCAAGUAUUAGGUACUGAAAUUGGUUGAGUGUUGCUACUUGAAGAAUUUAUUUAGGUUGAAAUUAGAAAAUUUGGUGAAGUUUGACAAAAAUAUGUGUUGGUAAGGCUAAUUCUGGUUACUGGUUUUAUUUUGCUAUCGUAAAUGUGCAUCUGCACAUGCAUUUUCACCAGUAGCACUUCAAAGUAAAAUUAUGUUCAAGUGUUAAACUGCAGGAAAGAGAAAACAAAACUUACGUAAAACUGCAGCUAAAAUUAUUUGCAUUUGCACAUUUUUAAGGAGAACAAAUUAGCAAACCAUUACUUAAAACUUCCCUAGAUAUUUUCCAUCAUAUAACAGAAGAAACACAAGCAGAAAUAUAACCAAAAAAAAAAACCAGAAGCAGAAGAUUUAACUUUUGGAGAACCUUAAAUUAAGCACAGACUAAAACUUCAAUCAGAAAAACUGUAUUACUUCUUGAAGAUCACAUGUUUGAAAAGGGCAUCCAAUGACAGUUUCACUACUGUAGAAUCAUAGUCACAUGUAAAUGUCAGAACCAGGCCCAUAAGAACUUUGCACUAAUAUAUGAUGAAAUUCCAGACAGGCAAACGACAAUUGACGCUGUGUAAAAGGAAAAUGUGCUAAACAGUACAAAUGAGGGACAAGGUCGUACCAAUUUAGUCCAGAUCAUCCCAAUACUCAUGACCAGUUAGCCAUUUGGCACAUCAUGUUAUGCUGGUGAUGCAGUAGACUGUUUUCCACAGAUAUGAAUAUAAAAAGUAAAAGAGAUACUUGAAUAUGUUCAACCAUCAAACAACAAUUGAUAUGCAAGAUUAGUGCAGGCAAUUGAUUAAAGUCAUUCAUGAAUGGCUCUUGUUCAGCUCAAUUUUAGGCUUGAUAAAGAUCAAAUUGAGCACAAGCAAGCUAGGAUUAAUCCUAGUACUUAGGUUUGAAAUUAUUUCAAGCCAGGCUUGAGCAAACCCAGCUCAAUCAGGUUUGGCUCAAUAAGAUUGGAAACUGGGCCAGCACCUUUUUCCAGCCACUCAUCAAUUUCUCCUUGUCAAUCCACACUCAAUCAACCUUAAAUUGAAUGUACAGAUCCCCUUCCUUAUUCUCAAAACCAAUUCUGAGCCAGGCCUGAGCCAAUGCUCAUUGAACAAGGCUUGAAAUUAUAUGUGUAAGCAUGUUACCUUGAAAUCAAUCCAACAGCUGAAACUAUUAAACAAAAUGACCUGAACACAGGUGGAACAGUUGAUGGCAGCGGCUUGUUAAUACUGAUUCGUUAAGAACUAAUUAUAUAUAAAAAGGAAUUCAAAAUUUCAAGCUUGAAUCAAACUUCAAUAGAAUGUGACUUAUGCUAGAUUCUGAUCUAGCUCACUUUAGAAUAUCAAGCAAUUCAAAAGAGGCUUGUGUGGGGAUUCAAAAAGGCUUGUGUUGACACAAGACAUAACGAAGCUCACUAAAACAUAAAACAAGCAAAGCAUGCUUCCGUAUCCAAACACAAAAUCAAUUGGAAAAAAAAAAGAAGCUUCACAAUACUCAAAAAUUGAUCUAGCUUGACUAAAUCACAAACCUAUCAAAAAUAUAAGCAUCCAAAGCAUUCAUAUAAAAUACAUUUAUAAUCAACUAUUGAAAUCAAUCCAAUGGCAGCAUGUGUGCGCUGGAGAAAAAUUGUUCUACCUAUAUUGUAUCUACUAAUAUUUUUAAAGUAUUAUAAAGAAUAAAAUAUUGACAGAUUUAUUUAUUAAGGUGUUUCAGUGUAUUUGUUCCCCAUUCAAACAUCAAAAUACAAUGGGUUUGAAUAGAUCGUUGCAACAACCUGCUCACUGCCAAUCCCAAAGCUGCAACCAAAGAAUAUGAUAACUACUUAAAUCCCUGGCAUCUAACCAAUAUCCAAUGAGGAAUCUUUCAGUCGGGCAGAAGUGUCAAGGUAGCACAAGAUUAUUCAAAUAAUAUGAAGGUUCUGUUGCUACAGUUCAUGAUGUGAUUGGCUGCAUGGAUAUGGGCAUUGAUGAUUUCAUAAACAACAUGUAAUAUUUGUUCAAAUGAAGCCUUGAGUUUCUUUCUUGAAUUUAGUAUAAGCCUGAUUAAAAUCAGACUUGAUAUCAGAGGCUAUCAUGUUACUCUAAAUACACUAGUGUGUGGCUUGGUUCUUGAUGAAUCUCAAACAUAUAGGAAAAGAGACAAGAUUACUGAAUUUAAUACUUCAAAUUAGGUUUAAGGCAAGCUACAUCAGACAUAAGAUCAAUCAAACUCACCUAGAGUACAACCCCAUACAGAGCAAGUACAAAGUCCAAAAAGAAAAGAAAAUUUUGACACCUCUAAAAAUGUAAAAUGUGCAUCUAUUAGGGAAAAGGGUAGAAUUUAAUGGAAGUAGUAUGCAUAUUUUAAUUCAAAAUUUCUUGCCAGCAACUGCAAUAUUUCAAAUAGAAACUCAUAUCCGGAUAGUAGUCCAAAUUUCAGGAUUUAUCAUACAUAAAUCCAGCCAAAAAAUAGCUCAAAGUACACAUUGGUUGCAUACACAAAACUCCCUACAACAACUCAUAGAAACUACCAAAAACAAGAUGAUGCAUUUUAAAGGUGAUCACAAGAAACUAACAAAGUGGGUUUUGUUUUUUUUUUUAUCAAGCACUAGAUGUUUUUUUUAUCAACCGCAAGUUUUGUCUUCAUUAGUUCAUCAGUCUCACAAUACACAAUCUAAAAAUCCCUCCCCCUGCCUUCAGAAAGAAAAAAGUGUGAUGGUUUUCAUCAUCCCCAAGUUUAUCUUCAUUAGUUCUUCCAUCUAACUUGACUACACAAUCUAAGGUUGGCCCACCUGAACAUCAUAUUGUUUGUGUGUUGUGUUGUUGUAAGAUUGGCUCCAACCAUUACAGCCAACCAGACAGGCAGGCAUAUGCGUCAGCAUCAUGUUCACAUCAAGACAAGCAGGCAUAUGCAUCAGCAUCAUGUUCACAUCAAGCAAGUCAGAAGCCAUCGCACCAAGUCUCAAAAAUAGGAGAAAGAUUUACCAAAACUAUUCAUAAAUAGGGUGAUCAUUAUCAUGACGAAUGACCUUUACUAUCUUGAGAGUUUGGCAAUCUUGUGAAUGUUGACAAAUCCAUCAAACUGAGGAAAUCAGAACAAGAAACAAAACUACGGUUAUAUAAACGAACUUAGGCAUAAAGGAUAGACAAAAUGGAAACUACGAACCAAUCUGAAACGAAACCCUAAUUCACAAUACCACCGCUACAAGAAAAAAUCACACCACCAACAAAUCAAACAAUAACAAGAAAACGGAGAACAAAGCUAUAUCGCAACCCUAAGCCUAAUUUAUCAACAAACAAACAAAUCGCCCCUAAUCGAAGCCACCACCGAAAAAUCGCACUAAAACAACAACUCAAGCAGAGCAAAAAAAGGAGGAUGGAUCUCUUUCAAAAUUCUCGACCCACUUCAUCAAGAAACGAACAAAUCACGAAAUCCUAAGAAGAUCGACCAUCAAAAAGGGGGGAAAGAUCACGAUGCAAGGAAUCUGACCAGGAUGAGGUCAAAGAGGGUGGCCUGGUCGACCUUGACGAACUCCGCAUCCCAGGUCUUGAGAUCAUCGUCGGCGAGCUUGAAGGAGGUGUCGUCGGCGGCAGACUUGGAGGCGGCAGCGGCGGCGGCGUCUACGUGCUUCUUGCAGUACUCGAUCACUUUCGAGAGGAUCUUGCUGGUGACGUUGGGGAGGGGGAUGCCGUUGCUGGCGC